GCUUGCUUAAAAAAAUUGAAGUGAUACAAAGAAGAUCAACCUGGCCCCUGAACAGGUAUGUUGCAAAUUUGUGAAAUGUUCCAUAAUUUA
Molecule: small nuclear RNA, 90 nt
Organism: Cricetulus griseus (Chinese hamster)
Lineage: Eukaryota; Metazoa; Chordata; Mammalia; Rodentia; Cricetidae
Source: Ensembl